UACGUAGGGACCAAGCGUUGUUCGGAUUUACUGGGCGUAAAGGGCGCGUAGGCGGUGCGGUAAGUCACUUGUGAAAUCUCUGAGCUUAACUCAGAACGGCCAAGUGAUACUGCAGUACUAGAGUGCAGAAGGGGCAAUCAGAAUUCUUGGUGUAGCGGUGAAAUGCGUAGAUAUCAAGAGGAAUACCUGAGGUGAAGACGGGUUGCUAGGCUGACACUGACGCUGAGGCGCGAAAGCUAGGGGAGCAAACGGGAUUAGAAACCCUAGUAGUCC
This 273-nucleotide ribosomal RNA is filed under the name uncultured prokaryote. Its description in RNAcentral is "partial 16S ribosomal RNA". It matches the Rfam family "Bacterial small subunit ribosomal RNA", at positions 524 to 796 of the family's 1533-position model. The record is from RNAcentral.